CUUAAUCCAACAUCGAGGUCGCAAACCCCCCUGCCGAUAAGAACUCUCAAGGGAGAUAACGCUGUUAUCCCUAAGGUAAUUUAAUCUUACAAUCAAAAUAAAUGGAUCAAGCAAAUAUAAAUAAAUAUAACAACAAAAAGGAGGGGUUAAAUAAUAUCCCUCCCAUCACCCCAACAAAACAUAUUAAACAGCCCUAGUGAACCCUCACAAACAGAAAGAGACCGUGAAUAAAUGUCAAACUCUAUAGGGUCUUCUCGUCCCAUAAAAACAUCUAAGAAUUUUAACUCAAAGACCAAAUUCAAUAAACAAUUCAAAAUUAAGACAGCUUAUGCCUCGUCAAGCCAUUCAUACCAGAUCACAAUUAAAGAACUAAUGACUAUGCUACCUUUGCACGGUCAAAAUACCGCGGCCCUUCAACAUUCAAGGUCAGUGGGCAGGCCAUACUUCAAAAACUAA
RNAcentral lists this ribosomal RNA (456 nucleotides) under Reticulitermes flavipes (eastern subterranean termite). RNAcentral describes it as "partial 16S ribosomal RNA". Lineage: Eukaryota; Metazoa; Arthropoda; Insecta; Blattodea; Rhinotermitidae. The record is from RNAcentral.